This 457-nucleotide long non-coding RNA is filed under the name Pan troglodytes (chimpanzee). Its description in RNAcentral is "lincRNA". Lineage: Eukaryota; Metazoa; Chordata; Mammalia; Primates; Hominidae. The record is from RNAcentral.
CUUUGUGUUCAUGUGUAUUCAAUGUUUAGCUGCCACUUAUAGGUGAGAACAUAUAGUAUUUGGUUUUCUCUUUCUGUUUAGCUCAUUUAGGAUAGCGGCCUCCAGCUCUAUCCACGUUCUGACAAAGAAAACCGUGUUGGGAGUUUGAUUAGACGGCUGAGAAAGACAGCAAAUCUACAGGGUUUGUCAAAGAUAAGAUCGUUGUCAUGGCAUGACAAGGAUGACCUUUCCAGCCUGCAAUACCUGCUUGACCACUAAGACCAAACAGCUCAAAUUAAAGCUUUCCCUGGCCAUGGUGACUGAGUCAAGGACAGACUCAUAAUCUAAGGCAAAGCAAUAAGUCAUCAGGAGACUCAAUACCUGCGUGUCUCUCAACCAUUGGAAAAAGUGAAUAUUCUUUGUAUCUGGAUGUGAAUAUAUACAACCCCAGGAGCUGCUAGAAUCCAUCUUGAGUUUG